Molecule: unclassified non-coding RNA, 263 nt
Filed under: plant metagenome
Description: partial contains small subunit ribosomal RNA, internal transcribed spacer 1, and 5.8S ribosomal RNA
Source: RNAcentral
UUUCCGUAGGUGAACCUGCGGAAGGAUCAUUAUUGUAUAAGCGAGGUGCGAGGGCUGUCGCUGACCCGAAAGGUCGUGCACGCCCGAGUGCCCUCACGCACAUCCAUCUCACCCCUAUGUGCACCACCGCGUGGGUCCCCCUUUGGCUUGUUCGGAGGGGGGCUUACGUUUUCACACAAACUUUGUAUGCAGUGUAGAAUGUAUUUUUUGUUUUUGCGAUCACGCAAUCAAUACAACUUUCAACAACGGAUCUCUUGGCUCUC